Molecule: long non-coding RNA, 868 nt
Organism: Pelobates fuscus (common spadefoot toad)
Lineage: Eukaryota; Metazoa; Chordata; Amphibia; Anura; Pelobatidae
Exons: 4
Source: RefSeq, a predicted model, not a curated record
ACAACGAGUAGAGAGACCUGAUCUUCAGCUUAGAAUAUUUUUCCACUAUUGCCUGAAUAAUAAUUGUUGGAUUUUUUUCCCUCUUCUCUCUUCUCCCCUUCUUUUUCAUUCUCACCCUUUCCUCUCUCCCUCACUCUCUCUCACUGUCUGCCUUUAUUCCUCCCUAUACACAGGAUUUUCCAGACACGGUUUAGAUGUCCUCCUCUAUCUACUAAACAGAAUACAAGCAUUGAGGCUCCUAAAGUUGAUAUUAACAUUAAAUUAAUGGAUUGGAGGACAGAUGGAGAUGCGAGGUCCUGAAAUGAGCAGUUAAAGUAUCUUUAGAAGAAGAAAAAACAGUUUUGAUCCCGCCGACCUAAGAUUUUUAGGAGAAGCACCACUUGUUCCCGCUUGCUGUCUGUCUCUAUGAAAUUAUGUUGUUGGUCCAGGCAAAUAUGGCGGAUGUGGCAGCCAUGACUCUGUCCGUCUGUCUAUCAAGCUUAUAAAUACAAUGACCAAGUCAAAGACAAACUAACAGAUUGCAAACCCACUGGUAUAUACACUGGACUAUAUUAAAAUGUGCAAUCUGUAUAUUUAAUGAGGAUUGAACCAAAAAGCUAGCAAUCUAUUUAUCCUCUCUGGAAAAUUAAGCUGGUAUUAUCGAUUCAUUUCUGAUAGGUUCAGCUCAUGUAUAUCUCCCCCUCUCAUACACCUCUGGUUUUAUUUAAUUUACAACAGAUCCUUUCAUUAUAGAACUCUGGGCCCCACAGUGAUUGGCAUUGGGGAUUCAUCCUAUGGAAAAGGUGUCAUUAAAUAAUUAAGCAAUAGAGAUGAUGGCUUCUUAUUCCUUUACACAGAUGAAAUCGAUUAAAAGUUUUACUAAUUUAUA